This 833-nucleotide long non-coding RNA is filed under the name Vulpes vulpes (red fox). Its description in RNAcentral is "lncRNA (ENSVVUG00000007576.1)". The record is from RNAcentral. Lineage: Eukaryota; Metazoa; Chordata; Mammalia; Carnivora; Canidae.
GGGAGACUCAUCUGCUAUUAUAGCUCCGGCCCGCCUCGGGGCCCCGGCGUGCGAAUUCCGCCUCGGGAGCCGGACUCCGGGGUGCGAGGGGGGGGGGCGCGGAUCCAGGGCAGGACGCGCGGGUGCGGCUCGCCGGGGGGUCGGGCCGCCGGGACCCUUGCGCCGGGCCGCCAGACCCUUGCGCGGGGUCCACUCGGACCGCGGCUUCUGUCGGGGAGCUGGCAGGUGUGCGCGCCCGAGCCCCGGGCUGCACCCCAGGACCCCCGGCUGGUCCCCCGCGCAGGGAAGGGAAGCGGGGCGCGACCCCCCAGCCUGGAGAGCGCGCCCGGGCCUCGGCCCCGGCCCCUCCGCUCCCGGCAGAACCGAGGCCUCUCAUCCUCCUCGGGGGCCCCGGGUGACCGCGCCCCUCGCCCGGGCGCCCCGCUUGCGCCCCNNNNNNNNNNNNNNNNNNNNNNNNNNNNNNAGGCCCCGCCCCGCACGCCCUCGCCCGAAGGAGACGAGGUGCCCAGCCCGGGAGGGAGCAUAAAGGGGGCCCUGUUGCCGCCGCCGCCGCCCCAUUCAGGGCCGAAUUCAAAUGGAUAUUUCCCCCGCGGCCCCGCCGCCGAGCCUCAAUGCCUCAAAGACUCAACGGCAGGAAUUUGUCUGACACACUCAGGGCGGCUGAGAGUCCAAGUCGGACAAAUGCUGUCCCAAUAAAGACAUAACAGCUAAAAUCUGUUCUUCCUGGUUUGCUGAAGUGCAAUGAAAGAUAACUACAUCUGAAAUUCCGGGCCGGCAGCUGCUCAUAGAUUUCUUCAUUAAAUAAACAUCGGGAUACCUGCUGAUUGAACCCA